ACCUACGGGAGGCAGCAGUGGGGAAUAUUGGGCAAUGGACGCAAGUCUGACCCAGCAACGCCGCGUGAAGGAAGAAGGCUUUCGGGUUGUAAACUUCUUUUAAGGGGGAAGAGCAGAAGACGGUACCCCUUGAAUAAGCCACGGCUAACUACGUGCCAGCAGCCGCGGUAAUACGUAGGGGGCAAGCGUUAUCCGGAUUUACUGGGUGUAAAGGGAGCGUAGGUGGCAAGGCAAGUCAGAUGUGAAAACCUGGGGCCCAACCCCGGGAGUGCAUUGGAAACUGUCUGGCUAGA
RNAcentral lists this ribosomal RNA (293 nucleotides) under uncultured bacterium. RNAcentral describes it as "partial 16S ribosomal RNA". It matches the Rfam family "Bacterial small subunit ribosomal RNA", at positions 337 to 645 of the family's 1533-position model. The record is from RNAcentral.